GUGAGUUUAAUUCAGUUGGUAAAGAUAUUUCAUUUUAUAUGCAAGGGUCGGGGUUCGAACUCCGGACAGUUCACU
This 75-nucleotide transfer RNA is filed under the name Medicago truncatula (barrel medic). RNAcentral's name for it is "sRNA gene50014". Lineage: Eukaryota; Viridiplantae; Streptophyta; Magnoliopsida; Fabales; Fabaceae. The record is from RNAcentral.